AUUGAACGCUGGCGGCAUGCUUUACACAUGCAAGUCGAACGGCAGCGCGGGCUUCGGCCUGGCGGCGAGUGGCGAACGGGUGAGUAAUGCAUCGGAACGUGCCCAGUAGUGGGGGAUAGCCCGGCUAAAGCCGGAUUAAUACCGCAUACGACCUGAGGGUGAAAGCGGGGGACCGAAAGGCCUCGCGCUAUUGGAUCGGCCGAUGUCGGAUUAGCUAGUUGGUGGGGUAAAGGCUUACCAAGGCGACGAUCCGUAGCUGGUCUGAGAGGACGACCAGCCACACUGGGACUGAGACACGGCCCAGACUCCUACGGGAGGCAGCAGUGGGGAAUUUUGGACAAUGGGGGCAACCCUGAUCCAGCCAUGCCGCGUGCGGGAAGAAGGCCUUCGGGUUGUAAACCGCUUUUGUUCGGGAAGAAAUCCUCUGGGCUAAUACCCCGGGGGGAUGACGGUACCGGAAGAAUAAGCACCGGCUAACUACGUG
RNAcentral lists this ribosomal RNA (484 nucleotides) under uncultured bacterium. RNAcentral describes it as "partial 16S ribosomal RNA". It matches the Rfam family "Bacterial small subunit ribosomal RNA", at positions 28 to 507 of the family's 1533-position model. The record is from RNAcentral.